GUCCACGCCGUAAACGAUGGGUACUAGGUGUUGGGGGGUAUUGACCCCCCCAGUGCCGCAGUUAACGCAUUAAGUACCCGCCCUGGGAAGGUACGGCCGCAAGGCUAAAACUACAAAGGAAUUGACGGGGGGCCCGGCACAAGCGGUGGAGCAUGUGGUUCAAUUCGACGCAACGCGAAGAACCUUACCUGGGCUUGACAUCUCAGGAACCUCCUGGAAACAGGAGGGUGCCCGCAAGGGAGCCUGAAGACAGGUGCUGCAUGGCUGUCGU
This 271-nucleotide ribosomal RNA is filed under the name uncultured bacterium. Its description in RNAcentral is "partial 16S ribosomal RNA". It matches the Rfam family "Bacterial small subunit ribosomal RNA", at positions 793 to 1055 of the family's 1533-position model. The record is from RNAcentral.